AGCGAACGCUGGCGGCAGGCUUAACACAUGCAAGUCGAACGGGCACUUCGGUGUCAGUGGCAGACGGGUGAGUAACACGUGGGAACGUACCUUUUGGUUCGGAACAACUGAGGGAAACUUCAGCUAAUACCGGAUAAGCCCUUACGGGGAAAGAUUUAUCGCCGAAAGAUCGGCCCGCGUCUGAUUAGCUAGUUGGUAGGGUAAUGGCCUACCAAGGCGACGAUCAGUAGCUGGUCUGAGAGGAUGAUCAGCCACAUUGGGACUGAGACACGGCCCAAACUCCUACGGGAGGCAGCAGUGGGGAAUAUUGGACAAUGGGGGCGACCUUGAUCCAGCCAUGCCGCGUGAGUGAUGAAGGCCCUAGGGUUGUAAAGCUCUUUUGUGCGGGAAGAUAAUGACGGUACCGCAAGAAUAAGCCCCGGCUAACUUCGUGCCAGCCGCCGCGGUAA
RNAcentral lists this ribosomal RNA (449 nucleotides) under uncultured bacterium. RNAcentral's name for it is "partial 16S ribosomal RNA". It matches the Rfam family "Bacterial small subunit ribosomal RNA", at positions 29 to 523 of the family's 1533-position model. The record is from RNAcentral.